RNAcentral lists this ribosomal RNA (523 nucleotides) under uncultured microorganism. RNAcentral describes it as "bacterial SSU rRNA". It matches the Rfam family "Bacterial small subunit ribosomal RNA", at positions 9 to 514 of the family's 1533-position model. The record is from RNAcentral.
GAGUUUGAUCGUGGCUCAGGAUGAACGCUGGCGGCGUGCCUAAUACAUGCAAGUCGAGCGAACAGACGAGGAGCUUGCUCCUCUGACGUUAGCGGCGGACGGGUGAGUAACACGUGGAUAACCUACCUAUAAGACUGGGAUAACUUCGGGAAACCGGAGCUAAUACCGGAUAAUAUAUUGAACCGCAUGGUUCAAUAGUGAAAGACGGUUUUGCUGUCACUUAUAGAUGGAUCCGCGCCGCAUUAGCUAGUUGGUAAAGUAACGGCUUACCAAGGCAACGAUGCGUAGCCGACCUGAGAGGGUGAUCGGCCACACUGGAACUGAGACACGGUCCAGACUCCUACGGGAGGCAGCAGUAGGGAAUCUUCCGCAAUGGGCGAAAGCCUGACGGAGCAACGCCGCGUGAGUGAUGAAGGUCUUCGGAUCGUAAAACUCUGUUAUUAGGGAAGAACAAAUGUGUAAGUAACUAUGCACGUCUUGACGGUACCUAAUCAGAAAGCCACGGCUAACUACGUGCCAGCCC